This 333-nucleotide unclassified non-coding RNA is filed under the name soil metagenome. Its description in RNAcentral is "partial contains 5.8S ribosomal RNA, internal transcribed spacer 2, and large subunit ribosomal RNA". The stretch from base 1 to 120 matches the Rfam family "5.8S ribosomal RNA", at positions 35 to 154 of the family's 154-position model. The record is from RNAcentral.
GAUGAAGAACGCAGCGAAAUGCGAUACGUAAUGUGAAUUGCAGAAUUCAGUGAAUCAUCGAAUCUUUGAACGCACAUUGCGCCUGCCAGCACUCUGGCAGGCAUGCCUGUUCGAGCGUCAUUUCAACCAUCAAGCCCUAGGCUUGCGUUGGAGCCCUGCGGCUGCCGCAGGCCCCUAAAAGCAGUGGCGGGCUCGCUAUCACACCGAGUGCAGUAGAUUACUCUUCGCUCAGGGCGUGUGGCGGGUUCCAGCCGUGAAACCCCCUACUUCUCAAGGUUGACCUCGGAUCAGGUAGGAAUACCCGCUGAACUUAAGCAUAUCAAUAACGGAGGA